This 419-nucleotide ribosomal RNA is filed under the name bacterium. RNAcentral describes it as "partial 16S ribosomal RNA". It matches the Rfam family "Bacterial small subunit ribosomal RNA", at positions 355 to 776 of the family's 1533-position model. The record is from RNAcentral.
UGGGGGAUAUUGCACAAUGGGCGAAAGCCUGAUGCAGCGACGCCGCGUGGGGGAUGAAGGCCUUCGGGUUGUAAACUUCUUUUGCUCUGAACAAGGCGCACCAUGGGGUGUGUUGAGUGUAGGGGUUGAUUAGCGCCGGCUAACUACGUGCCAGCAGCCGCGGUAAUACGUAGGGCGCGAGCGUUGUCCGGAAUUAUUGGGCGUAAAGGGCUUGUAGGUGGCUGGUUGCGUCUGUCGUGAAAGCUCAUGGCUUAACUGUGGGUUUGCGUUGGGUACGGGCUGGCUUGAGUGCAGUAGGGGAGGCUGGAAUUCCUGGUGUAGCGGUGGAAUGCGCAGAUAUCAGGAGGAAUACCGGUGGCGAAGGCGGGUCUCUGGGCUGUUACUGACACUGAGGAGCGAAAGCAUGGGGAGCGAACAGG